Molecule: long non-coding RNA, 633 nt
Organism: Saccostrea echinata
Lineage: Eukaryota; Metazoa; Mollusca; Bivalvia; Ostreida; Ostreidae
Exons: 4
Source: RefSeq, a predicted model, not a curated record
GAAUAAACAAAGAGAUUGCGAGAUGUUGUUUACGUGUGUCACUCGACACUGACUGCAAGAAACAAAGAGUGGAGAGCUAAUGCAUGGUGCUAAGUAUGGAAAGGUCUCUUGUGGUUUGGUUGUGCCAGAGACAAAUGUGCAUUAUUUCCAUGUUGGGUCAGAAGUCUCGGUACACUUUAGGUGAGUGGCAGUUGGGUAGAUGGAUGACCUUCAGAUAGUUUGAGAUGAAGAAGUUCUUUUAAAUGGUUGAAAGUGAUCAUCAUAGAAUCAACUCCAUUAUGAAGAUAAAUUAUGAGAGUCAGCACUUCUUUUGUCCAACACCUGAGAGAUCUAAGUACCCAGCCUACUGUUGAAUUAAUUGGUGACCAAGAAAAGAUGACAGAGAGGGGAAUCAAAUAUGGAUGCCAUCAUGAUCAAGAAUAUAUAUAGAUGAACAUUCAAGCAUUUAUAAUAAUGAAAGUCAUUCAGCAAGAGAGUUUUUGCACAAGUUUAAUUUUCAGUAAAAUUGUGUAUAUUGUGCACUGAGGAACUUAGUAUGUAACUCAUUAUGAUUAUCCAUUUCUUUAGAGGAUGUAUUUGGAGUAUAUUUAAAUAAUCAUUAUCUUCUAGAAAAGAGCACACAAAACUUUUCUC